RNAcentral lists this small RNA (107 nucleotides) under Marmota monax (woodchuck). The record is from RNAcentral. Lineage: Eukaryota; Metazoa; Chordata; Mammalia; Rodentia; Sciuridae.
GCCAGGUGUCUUGGCACACACCUGUAAUCCCAGUGACUUGAGAGGCUGAGGUGGGAGGAUUGCAAGUUUCAGGCUAGCCUGAGAGACUUAGCAAGACCCUGUCUGAA